UUGAAAGCCCUGGAGACUGAAGUCUUCUGUUUAUUCACAGAACAGGUCCAGCACAGGCAGCAAACAUCCCCCAUGCUGCCCUGCCCAAUGCACUCCAGCCUUGAUUUGCUGGGUGGCUCAGUCUCCAGACCCCAUCAGUCCCUGGCCCCU
RNAcentral lists this small RNA (150 nucleotides) under Sphenodon punctatus (tuatara). Its description in RNAcentral is "TUC338 (ENSSPUG00000012076.1)". Lineage: Eukaryota; Metazoa; Chordata; Lepidosauria; Sphenodontia; Sphenodontidae. The record is from RNAcentral.